Long non-coding RNA from Manis pentadactyla (Chinese pangolin), 1132 nucleotides. RefSeq lists it as uncharacterized. The record is from RefSeq and is a predicted model, not a curated record. The transcript has 3 exons. Lineage: Eukaryota; Metazoa; Chordata; Mammalia; Pholidota; Manidae.
AACCCCAUCCUCAGAUGCGCUCAUGCUGUGCGCUGGUCCCGGGUGCAGUGCCUGCGCUCGCCAGCUCCAGGGCUGCCUGCACGGGCCCUUGGCCAUUUCCAUUUCUCCCCCUGCAGACCUCACAGGAUCCUCAGGUGGAAGGGACACCAAGAGGCUGCCUCGUCUCCCAUGUCCACUCGGCAGGUGGCGUCCAGCCUCUUGUGAGCCAUAAGCGUCCCGCAGGUCCUCGCCUUCCUUGGGCCCCUGCCCUAUGACGGUGACUGGUCACGAUCUGAGCUCUGGAGUCAGACAGCCCUGGGGUCACUGUGAGGGUCAAAGAAGGAGUGGGCGUAAAGUACCUGAAAUGCCUGGCCCUGGCCCGGUCAUCCCCCCAGGGUUUGCCGUUGGUCAGAAACAUCCAAGAGCUGCAGUUUAGAACUCCGGGAGUGGAAUGCUGUGAGGGGGUUCCAGCUUCAAACGUGGGCCUGAUCGGGGGGAGGCAGAACCCUCGGUGGCUAGGUCGUUAAGUCAUCUAAGAAACACGGAGAGCCUACCACACGCCUGGCAGCUGAGGGCCUGAGGGCAAAUAAGAUGCAGGCCAACCCCUCAACAGGAGGGCAGGCUGGUGGGAGGCGGGAAGGUAACCGGAUAGUCACGUGAGGAUGUUCUGCGUGCUCUGACCGAAGGAGGAUGAUGCCACUGAAGAAGAGGGUCGCAGAGGUUUCUGGGCCUAAAUGGGGAGCCACAGUGUGCAGGUCAAGUAAGAUUUUACUGCAAGAAGCUGGAAACAUGAAAACCUAACCUGUCCCCCUGACUUUUUAGGGAGGAGUGGCCCCUAAGGAUGGAGCAGCUGACUGCCCAGUGGGCUCCCGUCCUCCACAGCCACUUUCUCCAGUUCGGACUCUUUCCCUGCACUCUGUUCACUAGGCCCUCUGUCCUCAGGCCCCACCCCUGAUGACCAGGCCACAGCCAGAGCAGAGGGUCUGUCUGCAUGCAGCGGGUUGGGGUAGGGCCCCAUCCAUCUUCCUCGCCGUGGAGGUGGGCCGUGGGACUGACGGAGUCUGUGAGCAGUGACUGCACCCUAGCACUGUACUAAUUGUGCUAGACAGAGCUGUUUAAAUACCACCAGACAGAAUAUUACUCAAAUUAAAAU